Molecule: unclassified non-coding RNA, 4622 nt
Filed under: Hevea brasiliensis (rubber tree)
Lineage: Eukaryota; Viridiplantae; Streptophyta; Magnoliopsida; Malpighiales; Euphorbiaceae
Source: RNAcentral
UCUCUUUCUCUCUCUAGGGUUUCUUUCUUUUCUUCUCUUUCAGCUGCUGAGUUACUUGUGCUGUCCGAUUCCCACCAACCAUGGGGUCGAUCCCCGAUCCAGGCGAGUUAACCGAGUUGACUCGGCCGAGCUUCGACCAGUUCCAACGCCAGACCUCUCUUAUGACCAGCUGUACUCUUCUCUGGAAGGAGCUUUCUGACCACUUCACCUCUCUCGAGCAGAACCUCCAGAAGAAAUCGGAAGCUCUCAAGCAUAAAUUACAGACACUAGACCACGACACGAAGGCCACGCUCGCAUCCCUCAAGAAGCGUGAGGUCACUAUUGACGGAAGUGUGGAGAUUACACUCGAGCGUGUAGAGGAGCAUAGAGAAGCCGCUCUCAAGUUAGUCGAGAACUCCAAUUUUGACCAUCCUGAUGGCGAGGUGGAUGACGGCGAUGGACUGUUACAGCUUCUGAAAUCCUUCUGCUUGAAAAUGCACUCCAGGGAGUUCUGGCAGUUUGUGAUUACCAAGAAGAAGGAACUUGAUGUGUUGAGGAGCCAGAUUCCUUUGGCUUUGGCAGAAUGCGUGGAUCCUGCUAGGUUUGCCUUGGAAGCCAUUUCAGAGGUCUUUCCGGUGGAUAAGAGAGUAGAAAGGACUGAGAAAGGGAAUGAUUUGGGAUGGGCUUGUGUGCUGGUUCUGGAGAGCUUGAUUCCAGUGGUGGUAGACCCGGUGAUAGGCAAGUCCAGGCUGUUAGUGACACCAAGUGUGACAGAAAGGGCCAAAGAGAUUGCGGAGACUUGGAAGAGAAGCCUGGAAGAGCGUGGUGGGAUUGAGAAUGUCAAGACUCCUGAUGUGCAUACUUUCUUGCAGCAUUUGGUCACUUUUGGGAUUGUGAAGAAGGAGGAUAUGGAUUUGUACAGGAAACUCGUAGUUGGGUCUGCUUGGCGCAAGCAGAUGCCUAAGCUUGCUCUCUCGCUUGGUUUGGCUGAUAAAAUGCCUGGUAUGUUUCUUCUUUAUGUAUAACUUUCCUCAUUUUCUAAUUUUAUUUGGUUUUCCCAGCGAUUCUACAAAAAUAUUACUUUUUCUGCCACCAAAGGCGCUCUUUCAUUGUAUCCUCAAACCCACGAAGUAUGUCCUAGUUGCGUGUAAUGUUUCCUUAUAUUAUGCUGAGGAGCAUACGGAGGACUGGUUCAACUUGAUCAAGUUUGGUUGUGUAAUUUCUUGUUAGUUUGUAGUUGAAUGAACAAGUAUGUGUGGUAAAGUGGUGAUCCAUAAAGUUUUGCUGUACAUGUUCUGAUAAAAAUCGAGGGAGGGGGGAGGGGGAUGGUAUAAUUUAUUGUCAACAGCAGAGCAGUGUAUAAGCUCAGUUAUCAAUAGAUGAGCAUUUGUGUGUGCGACACACAGAGAGGGAAAGAAGAACAUGAAGAAGACAGAAGAGAGGGGGAGAGAGGGGUGGGAUGCAAGCUUUCAGUGUGUUGAUAAGGUAGGGUUCUAACCUUUUUUGCACUUAUUCCAAAAUUUCAAUCAGUAGAUCAUAUUGAUCAUUCAGCCCCGGUCAUGGAGCUUGAUUCUGGUAAACUUGGGAGUCUAUAUCAAGUAGCUAGCAUCUUGAUUGAGUUCUGUUUAACUUGGUCCUUGGGUGUUGCCUAUCAAGGUGAAGGCGGCUCAUUGCGCCUUACAAGAAGACUUGUAUUUUUGUUGGUUUUCUGGUACACUUGAUUAUUCUUCAACUAGAUACUGUUGUCCACUUAACAAGAAGACAAGCAUCUUCUGCGUAGCUGAAUUUAUGGAUUUCUUACUCCUCAACCAUUUCUUUAGAAAAUCAAUUGUAAAUUUUUGCUGGCAGUCCAAUGAGCCAGUUUCAAUGUUGUCAUUUUAAAAGCUGCAAAGGUCCAAUAUGCUUUGUCAUUCUAAAGCUUCUGUGCUUUAUUAUGAUCAACGUAAAUUUAUCUUGUGUGAGGCCAAUGAGUUUUGCAUGUAUAGCUUUUCAAGUUCCAACUUUAAUCCUUUUUUUUUAUAAGCCAGCAAGAAUGGAAAGGCAUUGGUGCUUAAUAUGGCUAGAUUAAAGAUUUGGUGAGAAACAUUCAAUUCGUAUGUUUACUUGAAUAUGUUUGGUAUCAAUAUAUCUUUAAAUAUUUCAUUGAUAUUUGCUGGUAUUAUUGCAUGAUUUUGUCUUUUAUGAUGUAUCCUAUGGGUCACAUCACCUUGUAAAUUGCCCGCGAAGCUACUGUAGUUGAUUAUUGAGGUGAUCUUAACUGUUCUCAUGUACAGAUAUGAUUGAAGAACUAAUUACUAGGGGACAGCAGCUUGAUGCUGUGCAUUUUACUUAUGAAGUUGGCCUUGUAGACAAGUUCCCCCCUGUUCCAUUGCUAAAAGCAUUUUUGAAGGAUGCAAAGAAGGCUGCAGCUUCUAUUUUGGAUGAUCCCGAUACUGGUCGAGCUGCAGUAUGAAUCCUUUAUUUUAAUCUUCUGGAUAUGGUUUUAGGUGGUGCUUAUUUUAUAUAGUUUCUGUUUUUCCUGUGUUAAACAUUGAAUAUUAGGUUUCUCUCUUGGAUGUGUUCAUUCUGAAAAAUAUGUUUACUUUCCAGUUUGGUGCAGUGGGUAACCCAAUGGCCUUCCAGCGAUAGGUCCAUUUUUUAUCUCAAUAUGUACUUACCUAAAUGAAUAAUGAUGUGGUGUGCUCACUAGUCAUCAUCCAUAGGCAUACCAAGUUUGCUAUUGUUGAAUUUAUAUGCAACUACAAACUGGAAUGUCUUUGUUUAAGCUUAAUUAUGAAGGAAAAGAUUAAUUGCUGAGGGGGGCUUUACUUUGUAGUUCUUACCUAAGGUUGUAUCCCCAGGCGAGGGCAAUCUAUUGACUUUGCCUUGGGACUUAUUAAGCAGCAGUUUGCUUUUCUUUGCCCAAACUUGUACAUUUACAACACUAAAACCAUAUGCUAGGAUGAAAUGUUGUAUUUGCUAACAAUAAUAUCUUGGAUGAUGACCAGAUUUUCUUUUGCCUUAAAAAGAUAAAACUAAUUGUAUAGACUAGAAAAAAAAAAUUGUGUAGAUUAGAAAUGCAUUGAUUUUAAUGAAUACAACUAAUGCAGUGCAUAGGUUAUGACAAAAAUUUUUAUCUAAUGUUGUUAUACAUAACUCUUGUACCAUUGUAUUGUUAUACAUAAUUAUCUAAUUUUUUUUUUAUGUUCUAUUAUUUUAUAGGAGUGACUAGUUCAUUUCUUUCAACUUACUAGUAGUUAUUUUUAUCAAUAUUGUAGCACCUUGCUGCCCGGAAGGAGCAGUCAGCUCUUCGGGCUGUCAUUAAGUGCAUUGAAGAAUACAAACUAGAGGCUGAGUUCCCACCAGAAAAUCUCAAGAAACGCCUUGAACAGGUAGAGAAGGUCAAGACUGAGAAGGUCAAGACUGAGAAGAAAAGGCCAGCUGCAGUUCCUGCCAACAAAAGAACACGUGCCAGCAAUGGUGGUCCAAUGCCUCCAGCCAAGGCUGGCCGCUUGACGAACGCUUACGUAUCAUCUUUCCCCGCACCUCCAACAUUUGUCAGGUCUCCGUCACACACUCAAUAUCCUACUGGUGUACCAGCAUAUCCUUCUGCCGCUGCAGUUUAUGGUAGCAGGAGCCCUCAAUCUCCAUAUGCCUACUCACCAGAGGCAACUGCCCCCAUUGCUGGAUCAUAUCGUGGAGCUCCUUUGAAUUAUCCUCCAUAUGGAGGCUAUGGAAAUGGUUUCGCACCAGCUUAUCAGCAGGCUUACUACCUAUAGACAUGACUACUUGUUGAAGAUGGUGACCACUGAUAUGAUGACCCCAAUAUCAUUUGCUUUCUCGACUGGCUUGUUUGUAAUCACUAACCUUUUUAAUGGUAGCGAUGCGUGUGUGAAUUAUAACUUUUCUACUUCUUGCAGUGUCAUUGUAAGUUGUAUUUCUAAUGAUCAAACUGUAGCACUAGGUACUUGUAAAAGUAAUCCUGAUGGAAACAUAACAAUGUUGAUGUACUAAAAUUACGGCCGCUGUUAUUAGGGUUAGUUGUAGAAAAGCUGUUCCCUGCUGUCUUGAUUGUGGUUUGAAUAUUCCCGUUUCUUAUGGGUUGAGGUUGGAGCAAAUGCCAUCUUUCAUGACCAACUCAAUUAAGAAUCUAGUAAAUCAAAACUGGAUGGCAUUUGAUUCCAUUCAAGCACCUUUGUUUCUAUCUUCACUUGAUAGUUGUGUGAUGUAGGGGCCUGCAGUGUCGUAGUACGACUGGUUGCACAGUAUUUAGCAUACAGAUAAUGUUCACAGGCAGUUAUUGUAGGUGGUGAUUCUACCCGCAUUACUAACCAAAGGCUUUGGCAGGUAUUUUGUGAAAGGUAGACCGAUGGUUAGUACGUUUAUAUGAUAUAAUUGUUUCUCAACCUAGUGAAAUGUUCUUGCUGUUUACUGGAAUGAUUUUCGGUUAGCUGCCGGGUCAUAUGGUGUGGUUUCUUUAUUUGGAGCUAUAGCUUUUUCUUUUAAUGGCUGCAAGGUUGUUUAUAACGCACAAAUAUUUAUGGAUUGUUGUGCUCGUUAUGGGUAAAAUUUUCAACAGGGUGAAAGUUUGUGAGGGAUGGUAUUGUGAAUUUGUCCAAUUAAUUUUUUGUAUACUUUUUCUAGUUGAAUUAUUUGACUGAUCG